CAGGAAAAGGGGGCAGUUUGCAGAAAGAGACGCAGAGAGCUCAUUACAAACGAUGUCUUCAUAGCUGUCUGACUUGGCUUCGGGGUUUUCCUUCCGUUUCCUCGAUUUAAUUAGCCGUUUCACAGCACUUCCCAUGAUCUGCUCCUUUGAUAAGCCCCAUCCUAAAUUAUACAUGACUGGAGGGUGACGUAUCCUCUCUUCCCAGGGGCAUUUUAUCCCCGGUUUCUGAAGUUGAGUCGCGGAGAUGUUUAGUGAGAUCUGUCUAUUUCCCUGCUCAUCCAGCAUGAAACGGUGUUAAAUAGAAAGUUUUUGUGUUGACCUAGCCCCCGACAGGCUGCAUUUUCCUGCCUUACUGUACUUACCGAGCCUCCAAAUGAAUGCAAGGUGCCUAUCAGGCAGAAACAAUAAAAUCCCGUGGACUUGUAUUCGAGGUCCUAUGCCUUGCAAAGAUAUGUAAAUAUUGCUUUUGAUUCUUUCAGAAGCGAGUGUGCAAGCUGUUAGAAACCCUUCCAAAUGAGGCCGAUGCUCGCCUCAUUGACUGUGCUAUGGAGCUGGAUUCCAAACAGAAGCUCUCCUCUGGCUGCGGUCCGUGGGAUGCAAAGACAAAGCCAAAUUCUAUGGUUUUUGAAAACCAAGGAAGCAGAGGUACUGCCCAGCCGUGCCCGAGAUGUAUUGCUGGAGAAUCUAGAGGGGGGAUUCUUUCUGGCUCCCAGUUCCAGUCAGCAGAGUUUGGUGGUUUACACAGCGUGCCACACAAAGACAGGCCUAGAGCAGCUGGAGCUGCGUUAGAGUGCAGCUGAAUUGACGUUGUGCUGAGCUCCUAACACCGUCCUGAUCCGAGCUGGCUCACGUGAGUGUCCCUGCAUUCACAGCACAACUCGGCUCUAAGCCCUCUAACUCCCGAUGAUGA
Molecule: long non-coding RNA, 910 nt
Filed under: Anas platyrhynchos (mallard)
Lineage: Eukaryota; Metazoa; Chordata; Aves; Anseriformes; Anatidae
Description: lncRNA (ENSAPLG00020008190.1)
Source: RNAcentral